Pezoporus occidentalis (night parrot) is the source of this 817-nucleotide long non-coding RNA. RefSeq lists it as uncharacterized. The record is from RefSeq and is a predicted model, not a curated record. The transcript has 3 exons. Lineage: Eukaryota; Metazoa; Chordata; Aves; Psittaciformes; Psittacidae.
GGAAUGGAAGCAAGACACUUCAGUUCCCAGUGCCCUGUGUGGAUCGGAUGUUUCAGAAGAAUAACAACCUGCAACUUUCUGCUGUUCUCCCUGGAGAAAGGAGGAAAUCACGCCCCAGAAGUAGUGUAUGGGAUUAGAUGAUGACCUGCACUGGAAAGAAAUAAGUUUGGCGAAAGACAUCCAGCAGUGGAGAGAAAGCCUGGACAUACGCCUGUCAACAGGAGAAGUGAAAGAUCACUUGUGGAAGGAAGGCAAGGGCAAUAGAAAGAGGAGAAAAAUGACAACAGACUGCUCUGCUUCUAAUGACACCAAAAGGUUUGAAUCUGACACUGAUGGGGAACUUUGAGAAGCCACUAUUAAUUCUCUCAAUUCUUCCUUUCCCUCUGCCCUCCCUCUGUACCUCAGGCACAGGACUGAAGAAAAGAUGCCACAGCAGGUAGCUGUUGCCCAGGAAUGGAGUAGCAAAUUCGUCUCCAUCUAUAGCCCUGGAAUAUUGCCUGACAAGCAAAAGAAAAAUAUGAGGCGAGUUAACAUUACUGCUAUAUUGAAUAACCAGCACAAGGACUCGAGUUUUCUGAGGUUACAUUCUCCAACAUGACCUCCAGCAAGUCUGUAAACCUGUUGGAGAGAUUCCAUGUUUUCCAAGGUCAACUGAAGCACUGCCUACAUUGAGGAAGCUGGCACAAAUGUAAUUACGUCGAUAGAGAGCGUGUUUUCUUAAUGUAAAAAGGGCCUUGCUCUCCUUUCAGGAAUGACUCUUGCAUAUAGAGCUUCCUGAAGGUAAAACAAUGAAUAAAACAGAUGUGGAGUUUACAGA